Molecule: ribosomal RNA, 827 nt
Filed under: Coprinopsis atramentaria
Lineage: Eukaryota; Fungi; Basidiomycota; Agaricomycetes; Agaricales; Psathyrellaceae
Description: eukaryotic LSU rRNA
Rfam family: Eukaryotic large subunit ribosomal RNA
Source: RNAcentral
GAUUCCCCUAGUAACUGCGAGUGAAGCGGGAAAAGCUCAAAUUUAAAAUCUGGUGGUCUUUGGCCAUCCGAGUUGUAAUCUAGAGAAGUGUUACCCGCGCCGGACCGUGUAUAAGUCUCCUGGAAUGGAGCGUCAUAGAGGGUGAGAAUCCCGUCUUUGACAUGGACUCCCGGGGCAUUUGUGGUGCGCUCUCAAAGAGUCGAGUUGUUUGGGAAUGCAGCUCAAAAUGGGUGGUAAAUUCCAUCUAAAGCUAAAUAUUGGCGAGAGACCGAUAGCGAACAAGUACCGUGAGGGAAAGAUGAAAAGAACUUUGGAAAGAGAGUUAAACAGUACGUGAAAUUGCUGAAAGGGAAACGCUUGGAGUCAGUCGCGUUGGCCGGAAAUCAACCUUGCUUCUGCUGGGUGUACUUUCUGGUUGGACGGGCCAGCAUCAGUUUUGACCGGUGGAGAAAGUUCAAGGGAAUGUGGCAUCUCUGGAUGUGUUAUAGCCCUUGAUCGUAUACAUCGGUUGGGACUGAGGAAUUCAGCACGCCGAAAGGCCGGGUGAAUCUUCACCACGUUCGUGCUUAGGAUGCUGGCAUAAUGGCUUUAAUCGACCCGUCUUGAAACACGGACCAAGGAGUCUAACAUGCCUGCGAGUGUUUGGGUGGAAAACCCGAGCGCGUAAUGAAAGUGAAAGUUGGGAUCCUUGUCAUGGGGAGCACCGACGCCCGGACCAGAAGUUUACGGACGGAUCCGCGGUAAAGCAUGUAUGUUGGGACCCGAAAGAUGGUGAACUAUGCCUGAAUAGGGUGAAGCCAGAGGAAACUCUGGUGGAGGCUCGUAGC